CAAUAGCAUAUAUUAACGUUGUUGCAGUUGAAAAGCUCGUAGUUGAACUUUUGGUAGGAGCGACCUGGCCUUGGGCGCAUGCCCUUGUUUGCCGUGUGUCGUAUCUGGCUAUCCUUUUCUUCGUUUUUCGGAGGAAUCUUUUACUGUGAGUAAACUGGAGUGCUCAAAACAAGACGUUUGUUUGGUACAUUAAAGCAUGGAAUAAUAAGAUAGGACCUGGUACUAUUUUGUUGGUUUGCAUAGCUAGGUAAUGAUUAACAGGGACAGUUGGGGGUAUUCGUAUUUAAUUGUCAGAGGUGAAAUUCUUGGAUUUAUGAAAGACGAACGACUGCGAAAGCAUUUACCAAGGAUGUUUUCAUUAA
RNAcentral lists this ribosomal RNA (362 nucleotides) under uncultured eukaryote. RNAcentral's name for it is "partial 18S ribosomal RNA". It matches the Rfam family "Eukaryotic small subunit ribosomal RNA", at positions 592 to 976 of the family's 1831-position model. The record is from RNAcentral.